RNAcentral lists this ribosomal RNA (253 nucleotides) under uncultured bacterium. Its description in RNAcentral is "partial 16S ribosomal RNA". It matches the Rfam family "Bacterial small subunit ribosomal RNA", at positions 524 to 776 of the family's 1533-position model. The record is from RNAcentral.
UACGUAGGGGGCUAGCGUUGUCCGGAUUUAUUGGGCGUAAAGAGCGUGUAGGCGGCCAGGUAGGUCUGCUGUGAAAACUCGAGGCUCAACCUCGAGACGUCGGCGGAAACCAUCUGGCUAGAGUCCGGAAGAGGAGAGUGGAAUUCCUGGUGUAGCGGUGAAAUGCGCAGAUAUCAGGAAGAACACCGAUGGCGAAGGCAGGUCUCUGGGCCACUACUGACGCUGAGAAGCGAAAGCGUGGGGAGCGAACAGG